AGUUCUAGGAGAAAACCAGUGUUGAUAACACACCAAUGUUUACAGCUGCAGAUUUCUUUAAUGAGAAGCAUUCCAGUAAUCAUGAAACUGAAGAAAACGGUAGCAAUAAGUUGUAAGUUUAGGUAAAAAUGUGAUAAAGCAAGUACACGGUUUUUAAUCUAUCACAUUUAAAGUCAAAAACAGCUCUAUACCCAAGAGAAGAAAUCUUUGCAAAAUAAAUG
Molecule: long non-coding RNA, 221 nt
Organism: Numida meleagris (helmeted guineafowl)
Lineage: Eukaryota; Metazoa; Chordata; Aves; Galliformes; Numididae
Exons: 3
Source: RefSeq, a predicted model, not a curated record